This is a non-coding RNA of Anas platyrhynchos (mallard), 6511 nucleotides long. The record is from RefSeq and is a predicted model, not a curated record. Lineage: Eukaryota; Metazoa; Chordata; Aves; Anseriformes; Anatidae.
GAAGGAUCUGAUGCCUGUGGGGUUUCCUUUUCAGCUCUGUUUGGAGAGUGGAAAGUUCCUGGCCAGACAGAGACCUGGCUAAGCUCCUUCCUGAAGGACUGAAUUCCUCAGAGAUUUAGAGGUGGGACCUGUCCUCCGCCGCUAUUGUUCAUGUACCUCUCAAAGGAGCUGAAGGAAAUGGAAUUGACAUCUGUGUGUAAUGUGUGAGGCUGUGACCUCUGAAAUCCACUGAUGGAUGCUGCCACAAGGCCCUCGUGCAUCACCGAAGGCUGCUCUGCAGAGGCUCUGCCCUUGCUGUGCCAGCUGUUGUGCAGCUAGGCAUCGUAUGCUCCUGGAGAAGUCCACUGGUGCUUUCUGGAAAGCUUUCUCCCUUCCGUCUGAUCUGCUGAGGCUGCUUCUGAUAAAGGCUAUUUAUUUCUGCCUUCUUGGCUUGGGCUGCACGCUGUGAGUCUGGAGGAGCCGUGACCUGGAGGGACCAUCUGUUUCUCUGUUGGCAGGCAGAAGGGAUGGGGGCCAGGGAGGAAGGAUGCAGCUCCUCUAUGCUGCUGUUCCUGUGCCUCCUCGCUGUCUGGAUGGAGAGGCUUGGGAGCGACCUGCUUCCCUCCUGGCAUCAGAACCCUUCUGGCCACAGGAGCGACCUGGCAGCAGCGUGGAUUUCCUCGAGGAGCUGCAGGUUGCAGCAGAUGCUGCCCAUGGGAGCCCUGGGAACAGACCUGGAAUGCCAGCCUUCAGAAGGACUUGGUUUGGUAACAGACCUCUUUGAUUUCUGGUGGUCAGAGCAUUGAUUAUGGUCUUCAGAAACCCACGGAAAGGCUUCAGAUCUAAACCCACAAAGGGUUUAAGCUCUCAAUUUAGGAACUCCAGCAGCAGUUUAAUGUUUUUGCUGAUAGCAGCCUAUGAAUGAAAGCCCCUGCCCCGCAGUGCUAUCUCUAAGUAUCUGUCACUCUGUGUGCUUAGCAAGAGCAGAGAAUGGGAGAUACAACUUCUGAUUAAUGUCUCUGGGGAGCUUUUGCAAUACUGUUUUGCAAGCAAUUGUCAUUUAACAUUAAGGUAAAUACCUUGCAGCUAUGAACUAGAAAGCCCUUUUUUUCCUUUCCUUUUGGAAACAGCCUCUUGGCUUCACAAAGCUCUUGCUCAUGUUAAAACCACUUCUUUUUCUCUGUUGGUGCUGUAGCUGCCCUGCUGGUACCCCAGAGCUUGCCCUGAGCUUGAGGUGGCUGGUAGUGGGCAGGGAUGCUCAGUGCUGUGCCAGCAGGGGAGUUAAACCAGAGGUGCUUCUUGGUGCCUCUGCCCUCCUCCCCUCUGCAGGAGGAUGCUGCUGGCUAGCUGGCACGGGGUAGUGCUGAGUGGCUGGGUAUGUAAAUGAGCUCACUUUCAUUAGAGAGCUUGGCUGUAAGAAAACACCAUUAACUCCAUCGAGGCUCAUCUCUUUUAAUACCUGUGCUCCCCCUGGAGACAUCCAAGUUUCUAGGCUAAUAAUUUCUUAUCGGACUCUGGUGACUUUUACUUAAGGAAGUUGCUUCAGGCAGGGAGACCCCACUCUUAAUAUUUUUUCAUUCAUUUCUAAAAGAUUUGGAGUCUUCUUAUUAUUACUGCUUCCCUCAAAUGUUUAACUUCUACCUUUCCUCAACACCUCAUCUGGCUCUCACUGCUGUAACCCAAGCAGAUUAAUGCAGUCACCAAGACCUGCAACACAAUCCUUCUCACCGCUGUGUUGGAAAUCCAAUGUUUUGGGGAUCACUGCGUCAUUGCAGGCGAUAAUGGUGCUAGUACCUGCCCUGCGGAGGUGGUGGCAGCUUUCUCCUGUGAAAGACAGCACUGACUCCUUGUCCUAUCGCCCCCUCCCAGAAGCGUGUCUUGUUCUGGCUCCUUCCAGCAAUGCAAACAAUUACCGUUGUGCGAGAGCCACAACUGCCCAUGCUUUAACAACAUUGCAAAUUACACUCGUAAAUUCAGAGUGCAGCUAAUUGUUGUUUUAUGGAGUAGAUGUUCUUCAGGAAAAAAAAAUAAAUUAAUCUGUAAACACUCCGAUGCCCUGCUGAGCACAGGACUGUUUAUCUUUGGUGAGGAAUAGCCUUCCAGAGCAACCUCGGUGCACGCCGGAUCACAAACUUUUCAAGGGCAGUGGUGUUCCCCUGGUGUGGCUCUGGGCAGGCAGGAGCUGUGAGAGAGGUGGGUUUUGUUUGCUUGGUUUUUAUUCUGGGAUUUCACCUGCCCCUGGAGCAGCGUGCUUUGUGAUUACCGUGUUGUUGCUUGUUCUGGAAACCCCUCUGGCCUGGCUGAGAUGAGGGCUCCCCGGUGCCGCCCGCUGCCCUUGUGAAGGGGAAGAUGCAGCUGGUUUGAAGGAUUACAGGCAAAGUGGAUGCGACUGGCCGAGGCAGGGGACAGAUGUAAACCUCACUGUGCGAUGCUGGGCAGAUUGCUCUGCUAAUUUACAAGGAUGCUGUUGCACCAUAAGCAGGUGCCUUAAGACGGUUUCUGCCCUUCAUCCUUCUUGAGCUUGUCCAGAGGAUGGAUGGGACACCCAGGAAUGAGCUGCUCUGGAGUACCCAGUACCACUCUGCUCACAAAUGUACCCUUUAAGGAGCCACUCAGCCUCCCUGGCGCUAUCAUUCUUCUGAGCCUUCUCUGCUUCAUUCCUAAUUGGAUCCUUUGUACUCAAUUGUCCUGAUCUGCGGAAAUGUUAUGAGGAUGAGGGUUUUGGCUUUUUUUCUUUUCUUAUAGUGAUUUAUUGUAUUUUAAUUCUGGUUUCAGUGUGCAGGCUUCACUUGGCAGGAGUGUGAUUUGCAGGGAGGCAGAGUGUGGGAGGCUUUAUAAAUAAAACACCUGCUCUGUCUCCCUUCAUGACCAGGGUCUGAUCUUCAUUACUCCAGGGCAAACCUGGGAAACUUUCCACUAAAAUCAAGGGUGGCACCGGCACGGUGCUGGUGUAGCAGAGAUGAGAAUCAGAGAUGAGAAUCCAUCUGCCUGCAAAUUGCCAAGGCUGUAGCUUUCGGGACUCUAAGCAGGUGAUCUACGUGCAUUUUAAUAACCGUAACCUUCACAGCGAGUGCACAUUCUGCUGAGUGUGCAGAUUGCAAACCCGCGCUGCAAUCGCUGGAAAGGUUGUUUGUGGUAGCUCUUGAUAUACUGUUUGGAUUGGGCUUUGUUUGCUCCAGCGAGGCUUUGGAAGGGAAUGAUGUGCUAAUUGAGUAUUCAGCAAAUAGCAGCUUCCAAAAGGUCCUUGCCCGGUGAGCUAGGAGAUGCCCCUGAAAACACACGUCCACUGGUUAGCACGUGUGGCAGUGCCCUUGUGAGCCAAAUGGGAUCCUUUAAUUAUAGGUACUAAUAAUGCUUUGAGCUUUGCAAGUGCUCUGCAUGAUCAAAGUGCUCUUGGCCCAUCUUGUAAUGCUGAGAUGAAGCAGGUAUCGACAGGGGAUGCAUGGACGGUGCUGGUGGGAGCUGUGCUGAAAGCACCAUCUUCUGCCCACAGUUCAGCUUCUGAAAAGGACUUGGAUGCCACAAGGAGCUCUGGCAUAAAUGCCAAGAUUGGCAAAUGCUUCGUGCUGCAGCGAGCAUUGCUGGACAGCUGGGCUGAGAUCUGACACCAUCCAACACGGGGCCGGAGGGACUCAGAGCACGGGGCCUGAGGUACAUGGCUGGGUAUCAGCUGGGCCUUUGUGCCUGUCGGUGCUGACUCCUGCUGUCACAGCUGCCCUUCAAAGGGGAAAAACGCUGUAGCCUUUCUCAAGGGAGCAUUUGAAAUGUAAACCUGAGCCCUGCUUUCGUGUAAAUAAUAGUAUUUUUUCCCCUUAUGGAGCCUGCUACAGGGUGCACUCUCAGCUGGCAGUGGUGGAAGCGACCAGCGACUUUCAUAGGAGAGGGAGAGGCAAGGUUUUGCCAAGGAGGUGCAGUGCUGUCACCUUGCUGUCGUUGGGGCCUGAUCCUGCCUCGAGAGGAGAACAAGCAAAAAAAAAAAAAGGCUGUGAACAAUCUUGAGCACAGGCCCUGGUGGCUGGCAGCCCCACUGCGGGAGGGCUGGGGCCUGACCUCCUGUCCACUGCGCUGAGCAGCAGCACCAGGUCUCUGCUGCUGAACCACGGGCUGCGGGGAGCACCUGUGGGGUGAAGGAGGCAAAGGCUUCAGUCUGCUGUAGUUGCCAGGCUAAAGCAUGCUACUGUGGAAAUUCAGCUUAUGGAGAGGCUGGGGGGGAGCCAGGCUCCCCCGGCUGGCUCUUGGCAGGCAGUCAGAGUGACUCAAAAGGGAGAAAAUCUUCACCCAUCCCCUCCAAUCCCAUCUGUGGCUUAAAGGAAUCAGGUUGUACUCAUGUUCUGGAUGGGGGCUUACCCUGAAUGCUGUUAGUGUGAGUAUGCUCAGCUGUGUUUUUGUGGGGUCCCCUUGCUGCUCUACUGGGCCCCUCAGAAUCCCACUGCUGUGUGUCUGCAGCUGAAAUACCUCAGCUGUAACCUAUUUAGCUUUCCUGGCAAAAAGUCUUCAAGUGGAGCACGAGGCUUCUCAGGCUGUGUGUGGGUGAACGUGAGAAAAGCCAACAAGGUGUUCAACUCAAGUAGGUCAGAAGAGGGAACCUGAAUUUUACAGGAAACACUGAUACGUGUACUCAGAGGAGUUGAGAAUUACAUCUGAUACGUAACUCCUGUUGCCUUCCACAACCAGCACGAAUGCAAGGCAGGAACUCCACACCAAAAUGCGGUGCUGUGACCUUGGUCAACGUCAAAGGACAAAUUACCCCGUGCAACGUGCUCCUGGAAUACACCCCGGCGGUUCAGAAGCUCACGGCGUCCCUUCUGGGAGCUGUCACUGGGAAGUGGCUUCAUCCCUUCUGCCUCAGCAGGUGCUGGAUGGGGUGAGGAUAGCAGGGAGCAGAGCAGCACCCACUGGGACAGCAGGUAGGGAUGGAGCUGACCCUAAUGCAGCUCCUCUCCUGUCUGUAAACAGCCAUCAUCAGAGCUUUGAGAUUGAAGACCUUCAAGCUGGAAUCACCUCCUUCCUGGCUUCCCAAAGCAAAUGUAGAAAACUAAGACCCUUCCCUCAGCGUGGUGAGGCCAGUUUUCCUAUGGAAUACGGAGCAGAGGCUUUCUGAAGGUGCUGAGCUGGUUGUGGUUAUCCCAGUGCUCUAACCAGGGAAACAUACCUGAAGCCAACCUCUGGGGAAACGGACCGGUGCCUUCCAUGUCUGAGAGAACUGAUGGAUUUCUUUCCCGCUCCGCCCUGCCACGAGGGCUCAAUCUGAUGGCAAAGUGAGCAAGUAGAGGAAGAUGGACAGAGGCAGCUGGCAGGAUGCUGUGGCCAGCAGGUGCUGAUUUGUUCUCUUCCCUCCUCUGCCUCAGAGCUGAUAGAAACCUAGGAUAGCUGAUAGAAGCCCAGGAUCAGGGUAAAGGUCUGUGAUUUUUUAUUUAUCUUUUUUUCCCCUCUGACAUCUAUAUGGAAAUGAUCUUGUUCCUUUCCCUUCUGCUCCACCAGCCACCUCCUCUCCCCCUCGCCUUGGUAAGAGCCUGGUCCAGUUUCGGGUGCAGAGGCACAGAAAAGCCAAACCCUGGACGUGGGUGGGCUGCCUUGUGUGGGUGCCAGGGGCUUGCUGAGGUCAGGAGCAGGCAGCAAGCAGCGUGUUUGCCAUCUGGACAGAGCCAGCAUGGGCACAAAGCUGCCCCUUCCACCUGCAGCCGCACCUUGAGAGAGGACCCAGCAUCCCGAGGGCUUCCUGCGUGCUGGGGGGGAGGAAUUCACACCCUGGCUGCUGCAUCUGCCUCUGCCUGCAGCCUCCAAGGAGCAUCCAGGAGCUGCUGCCCUCCCAGCACAGCACUGGGCAGAGACCAGAGCCAGCCCUGCCAGGGGACAAGGAGAGAGCAGUUGUGGCUGUGGGGCAGGACCUAAACUGGCCUGGCCCCACUGGUGCAUGGCUGGGAUGCUGGUGCAGAGGCCAGGGGGAGGUUUAUUAAUUACUCGGUGGUGCUGUGUUAACGGGGCCCAUUUUCAGCUUUUUCUCUUCUGUUUUGAAACUGUGAAAUGAAGCGCAGUAAUCAAGGAAGGUUUUAAUAACCAUCCCAGCUCUGACAUUUAAAUUACAGAUGGCAUUUUCAAUUAAACAGGCGCUCUCAGCAGGUUUAAUUUAGCUAUCAGUUCUGCUCUGUUCUUUAAGUGCUUUCUUAAAAACGGUGAUGAAUUUAAAACUUGCUCCAAAGAGAGGAGGAGCUGAGGAGGGAUUGGAGCUGGCUGGAGAAGGGGAAGCCCCGGAGGAUGCUGAGUGUGCAAAGGAAAGCCAGAGGUUGAGGAGUACAGAGGAUGUGUGAUUCCCCCAGCACAGAUCUGUGCACAGGGCGCCCCACAUCUCAAAUGUCACUUUGUGUGCCUGCAUCUGUGCACAGUCACAUGCAACACCACGCUUCCCAGUGCAGUGGGACUUGAGCAUCCCGUCUGUUCUGUGGCUGGUCAGGGGUCUGCCUGCACACCUGCCUCCCUUCGUUCCUCCCCUCGGUGUCCCACCUCUUUCUGUCUUUCUGAUGGUGAUACCUUA